This 232-nucleotide unclassified non-coding RNA is filed under the name Acer palmatum. Lineage: Eukaryota; Viridiplantae; Streptophyta; Magnoliopsida; Sapindales; Sapindaceae. The record is from RNAcentral.
UCGGAAUCUGUGCAGACGACCCGCGAACCCGUUUCAUCAUCGGGGGGGAGCACGGGUGCGAGAGCCUCGUGGUCCCCCUCCGCAGUCGGAUCGACGGCGCCUGCGCCCUCGCUCCGUCGGCAAAAUAACGAACCCCGGCGCGGACCGCGCCAAGGAAACUUAACAAGAGAGCGUGCCCUUGCCUCCCCGGAAACGGUGUGUGCGCUUGUGGCAUCGCCUUCUCUCACUAUUU